Molecule: non-coding RNA, 92 nt
Organism: Acanthosepion pharaonis
Lineage: Eukaryota; Metazoa; Mollusca; Cephalopoda; Sepiida; Sepiidae
Source: the annotation of a GenBank genome assembly
CAUCAAUUCCUAUAUGAUCACUGAAGUUAAGUAACAUCAAGCCUGAUCGGUACUUAGAUGGGUGACUGCUUAGGAAUACCAGGUGCUGUAAG